CCUAAUGACGCACUGACGUCAAUGCAGGUCAAUAGCACACACUGCUGGAACUGGGCGUGCUACACCAAGCCAGAGCUGGAGCCUUUUCAAACAGCCCCAACUCUGCAAAUAUCCCAGCUUUGCGGGGAGGGGUGGGGGAAGCCAGGGUCUGGUAGGCACUGAGACCCCCCCAUCCCCCUCCAGCACCUUCAAAAUUGAUGCAUGUUUUCCUGAUGCCAAAAAAGAAAAAAAGGAAAAAGAAAAUCCAAACAGAUAUCAUCAGACGCACUGCAGUGCAAAAAAAAAAAAAAAAAAAAAAAAAAAAAAAAAAAAAAAAAAUUUAAAUCAUACCUGUCAAAGGAACCGUAUGUAAUCCGCGCACACAUUUACGCUCAGAAUGCAAUGCAUAUCAUUAGGGUCUGUCUAUAAAUAGACCCUGAGAAUGUGUGCAUCGGGAUUUAGUCCCCAAACGGGGUUUUCGAACGUGGGUGAUGAGUUCUUUGCUCUGAUCAGUUACUCAGGAGGUGCCUGAAUGUGUGGGGGUGGGAGCGUGGGAGGGGGGCUGCCUCCUCUCCCUCCUCCUUUCCUCUGGCUCGCCCCCUCCUUUCUUCUCUUUCUCUCCCCCCCUCCGCUUACCUCCCCUCUUUUCUCCCUCUCUCUCUCUCUCAUUUCCUCUCUUUCUCUUCUUCUCCGUCUCUCCUCCAGUCUCCCCCACCCUCUUUUCUUACUCUCCCCCUCCCUCUCUCCUCUCCUCCCCCUCCCUCUCUCCUCUCCUUCUCCCUCCAAGUCUGGCACUGAACGCGAACUGUUUUGCUUUGCUCCGGGAAGAGUGCAGACACAGAACGUGAAAUCCCGAGCUUUUUUGCGUGGUGCAUUUAAAACGCUUCCUUAUUUAUAUUACCCUCAUUCCCUCACCUCUCCCACCCCCUCACCAGUCCUUCCAAAUUUCCCUAGAAAUCUCUGUAAAGCGUGCGGAGGGGAAAAAAGUGAAGGAGCUCGCCAAGGUGAUCAAAAGUGCCCUGACACCCAGAGGUCUGCGUGAGGGGCGGCCACCAAAGGAAGGGGUCUCAGGCCACAGGAGCUGAAGAGUCUGGACAGAUGAACUCUGGAGUCUCAGGAAAAUAAAAGUUUUAUCUCCUGAGGAACCUUGAAGAUUCUUUUAAAGGUGAAACGUUUCGUCUUUCGGUAAG
This 1169-nucleotide long non-coding RNA is filed under the name Sus scrofa (pig). RNAcentral's name for it is "lncRNA (ENSSSCG00050003124.1)". The record is from RNAcentral. Lineage: Eukaryota; Metazoa; Chordata; Mammalia; Artiodactyla; Suidae.